RNAcentral lists this ribosomal RNA (253 nucleotides) under uncultured bacterium. RNAcentral's name for it is "partial 16S ribosomal RNA". It matches the Rfam family "Bacterial small subunit ribosomal RNA", at positions 524 to 776 of the family's 1533-position model. The record is from RNAcentral.
UACGUAGGGUGCGAGCGUUAAUCGGAAUUACUGGGCGUAAAGCGUGCGCAGGCGGUUUUGUAAGCCAGAUGUGAAAUCCCCGGGCUUAACCUGGGAAUGGCAUUUGGGACUGCAAGGCUUGAGUUUGGCAGAGGAGACUGGAAUUCCUGGUGUAGCAGUGAAAUGCGUAGAUAUCAGGAGGAAUACCGAUGGCGAAGGUAGGUCUCUGGGCUAGAACUGACGCUCAUGCACGAAAGCGUGGGGAGCAAACAGG